Chiroxiphia lanceolata (lance-tailed manakin) is the source of this 1285-nucleotide long non-coding RNA. RefSeq lists it as uncharacterized. The transcript has 6 exons. The record is from RefSeq and is a predicted model, not a curated record. NCBI's taxonomy places the organism in Eukaryota, Metazoa, Chordata, Aves, Passeriformes, Pipridae.
CCGGGGCUCCCGCCGCCCUGCCCGCCCGUUCCCCUCCUCACGCCCCGGGGCAGGAUCCCGCGGCCCUGCCCUCCUCACUCCCCCCCCCCGGCUCUCUCGUCCCCCUAGCCCGUUUCCCCUCACGCCCCGGGCCUCUCGUCCAUCUACCCGCCCGCUCCGCCUCGCGCCCGGGAGCUCUCGUCUCGCUGCCCGCCUGGUUCCCCUCACGCCCCGGGGUUCCCGGAGCUCUCGUCCCGCUGCCCGCCUGGUUCCCCUCACGCCCCGGGGCUCUCGUCUCGCUGCCCGCCUGGUUCCCCUCACGCCCCGGGGCUCCCGGAGCUCCCGUCCCCCUGCCCUCCUGAUUCUCCUCACGCCCCGGGGCUCCCGCAGCCCUGCCCUCCUCACGCCCCGGGGCUCUCGUCCCCCAGCCCGUUCCCCCUCACGCCCCGGGGCUCUCGUCCCCCAGCCCUCCCCGGGCGCGGGCGGGCGGCUGCGGCCGGAGCGAUAACGGGGGAUUUGUGAGGGAGGCACGAGGGAACCGCCGCGGGGCUGAGGGCGCUGCGAGGGGCCGCGGGGGAAUGUGAGGGAGCAGAGCCGAGAACGGAGGGUCUGGAGCGUCUCCCCGAUGAGGAGAGACCGCGGGAGCUGGGCCUCGUUAUUAUGGAGAAGAGAAGGCUGAGCAGGUGUGUUGGCAGCUCCUGUGAGCAAUAUUUGGGCACCUGGAGUUUGAGGAGGUUUGCUGUUGAACCCGACACGCUUCUGACUUCUGUGGUGUUCCUUCUUGGCUGCCAUGUGGGCUCACACACGCCCCUAGGAACGUGUUGGGUGGUUCCCAGACACAGGUGGGAGAUUUUUAGGUCAUUUGGUCUAAAGGAGACUCACCCUGUGUAGCCAGUGAUUUAACUACCCCAGUGCAACACAGGGAAAACAUUCGAAGGACGUUUACAAACAAAACAAAAAAAAGAAAAAGCAGAGUGUGGUGAGGGAUUGUUGUUGAGGGAAAAAGCCCUCAGCCUGUCUGUCUGUCUGUCUGCUGGAAUCUGAGCUUUUGAAGCUGCAGCUGGGCCUCUGAGCCCCUCACGUGUCCAGCGUCUGGAGGGACAUCUGGGUGUCAUCGGAGGGGAAGGGGAGGCAGACAAGCUCUGUGAUGGGACCACAGUUCCAGGAAGGCUGGAUGAAAAACAUGGAAUCUGUUUCAUGUGCUGCCAGAGUGUUGUUUGCAUGUUUUCCUCAAAGUUCAGGGGUCCCAUUCUGAAUGAGAUGUGAGAGCCAGUGCCCUUAUGGUCAGACCUCAGGGAAUGUGGAG